Molecule: ribosomal RNA, 429 nt
Filed under: Actinomycetes bacterium
Lineage: Bacteria; Bacillati; Actinomycetota; Actinomycetes
Description: Actinobacteria bacterium partial 16S ribosomal RNA
Rfam family: Bacterial small subunit ribosomal RNA
Source: RNAcentral
UAGGGAAUCUUCCGCAAUGGGCGAAAGCUUGACGGAGCAACGCCGCGUGAGUGAUGAAGGUCUUCGGAUCGUAAAACUCUGUUAUUAGGGAAGAACAAAUGUGUAAGUAACUAUGCACGUCUUGACGGUACCUAAUCAGAAAGCCACGGCUAACUACGUGCCAGCAGCCGCGGUAAUACGUAGGUGGCAAGCGUUAUCCGGAAUUAUUGGGCGUAAAGCGCGCGUAGGCGGUUUUUUAAGUCUGAUGUGAAAGCCCACGGCUCAACCGUGGAGGGUCAUUGGAAACUGGAAAACUUGAGUGCAGAAGAGGAAAGUGGAAUUCCAUGUGUAGCGGUGAAAUGCGCAGAGAUAUGGAGGAACACCAUUGGCGAAGGCGACUUUCUGGUCUGUAACUGACGCUGAUGUGCGAAAGCGUGGGGAUCAAACAGG